Molecule: long non-coding RNA, 513 nt
Filed under: Brachypodium distachyon (stiff brome)
Lineage: Eukaryota; Viridiplantae; Streptophyta; Magnoliopsida; Poales; Poaceae
Description: long non-coding RNA (BDIS_LNC002267)
Source: RNAcentral
UGUGUUGUAUAUUUCUUAGUCCAUCCAUGUCGACGUUUUUGGUGGUGUGUGUUGUAUAUUUCUUAGUUUAGCUAGGCUAUCGGCCAAUGUAUAUUCAGUUUGUCCGGUAAAUAUUGUUCUAUAAAUUUGGCAAUUCAUUUUUGUUCUUAAUUUUUUUUUCCGACUUACAUAUGAUCAGGGACAGAAACUGAGCCACCGAGAAAAACAGAUCUCGACUCCUCGCGUCGUCUCCUCCAGGCGACUCAGGGGCCGAUCUGCUGCCACUACCACUGGCUCCCCUCCACGCCUCUUCCACGUUGUCGUACCCUGAGGUGGCCGCCAGCGAAGGCCAUGCGGCCUCUGAUGAAGGGGGCGGCGCGGAUCUGGCUAUUGGCUGCUGCACACGACAGAUUGGAGGUCAUCUGUUGUCCGUGAUGGGGGCAUCUGUUGACUCGUGGACGUGCGGAUGCCAUGGCAGGAUUGAUGCGCUGUUUCGUGCGGCAGCAGUGAUCUCUGUUCUCCUCUGGCGUCUUC